RNAcentral lists this unclassified non-coding RNA (338 nucleotides) under soil metagenome. Its description in RNAcentral is "partial contains 5.8S ribosomal RNA, internal transcribed spacer 2, and large subunit ribosomal RNA". The stretch from base 1 to 120 matches the Rfam family "5.8S ribosomal RNA", at positions 35 to 154 of the family's 154-position model. The record is from RNAcentral.
GAUGAAGAACGUAGCGAAAUGCGAUAAGUAAUGUGAAUUGCAGAAUUCUGUGAAUCAUCGAAUCUUUGAACGCACAUUGCGCCCGGUAGUAUUCUGCCGGGCAUGCCUGUUCGAGCGUCAUUUCAACCAUCAAGCCCCAGCGCUUGUGUUGGGGGCCUGCGGCUGCCGCAGCCCCCUAAAAGCAGUGGCGGGCUCGCUAUCACACCGAGUGCAGUAGUUCAUCUUCUCUCCGGUCUUGUGAGGCGGGUUCCGGCCGUGAAACACCCCACUACAUUCAAGGUUGACCUCGGAUCAGGUAGGAAUACCCGCUGAACUUAAGCAUAUCAAUAAGCGGAGGA